Molecule: long non-coding RNA, 410 nt
Organism: Balaenoptera ricei (Rice's whale)
Lineage: Eukaryota; Metazoa; Chordata; Mammalia; Artiodactyla; Balaenopteridae
Exons: 4
Source: RefSeq, a predicted model, not a curated record
CGCGGCCGCCAUUUUUAGAGCGUGAGGUGCCCAGUGAUCUGACUGACGAGUCCGGGACGUAGUGAGACUCCUACCGCUCAGGGUCCUGCGACGUACAUUAACCACAGCCGCACUUUGGCCGUCACCACCCAACACACCGACGACUGCAUUGUACUCAUUACAACAGUCUAGGGUGAUGGCACCUCCCCAUUCCAAAGAGUCUUAACAAGGUCAAAAUGGAAUAGCCUCAUUUCUCCCUAUUUCCUACUAAGUACAGCUAAACUCCUGGAUAUUAUAUAUAAAAUAAACAUAGGAGACUGAAAGGUGCAGAGAAGAAGGCAGACCACCUAGGGACCUUGCGACCUGAGGAAUGACACUGUGAUGUCCUCAUAAAACUCGACCUAGUGGGGAUAACUGAAAAGAAAAUAAGA